RNAcentral lists this ribosomal RNA (895 nucleotides) under Gilliamella apicola SCGC AB-598-I20. Its description in RNAcentral is "bacterial SSU rRNA". It matches the Rfam family "Bacterial small subunit ribosomal RNA", at positions 625 to 1520 of the family's 1533-position model. The record is from RNAcentral. Lineage: Bacteria; Pseudomonadati; Pseudomonadota; Gammaproteobacteria; Orbales; Orbaceae.
ACUUAAAACUGGUUAACUAGAGUAUUGUAGAGGAAGGUAGAAUUCCACGUGUAGCGGUGAAAUGCGUAGAGAUGUGGAGGAAUACCGGUGGCGAAGGCGGCCUUCUGGACAGAUACUGACGCUGAGAUGCGAAAGCGUGGGGAGCAAACAGGAUUAGAUACCCUGGUAGUCCACGCUGUAAACGAUGUCGAUUUGGAGUUUGUUGCCCUGAGUGAUGGGCUCCGAAGCUAACGCGAUAAAUCGACCGCCUGGGGAGUACGGCCGCAAGGUUAAAACUCAAAUGAAUUGACGGGGGCCCGCACAAGCGGUGGAGCAUGUGGUUUAAUUCGAUGCAACGCGAAGAACCUUACCUGGUCUUGACAUCCACAGAAUCUUGCAGAGAUGCGAGAGUGCCUUCGGGAACUGUGAGACAGGUGCUGCAUGGCUGUCGUCAGCUCGUGUUGUGAAAUGUUGGGUUAAGUCCCGCAACGAGCGCAACCCUUAUCCUUUGUUGCCAGCGAUUUGGUCGGGAACUCAAAGGAGACUGCCGUUGAUAAAGCGGAGGAAGGUGGGGACGACGUCAAGUCAUCAUGGCCCUUACGACCAGGGCUACACACGUGCUACAAUGGCGUAUACAAAGGGAGGCGACCUCGCGAGAGCAAGCGGACCUCAUAAAGUACGUCUAAGUCCGGAUUGGAGUCUGCAACUCGACUCCAUGAAGUCGGAAUCGCUAGUAAUCGUGAAUCAGAAUGUCACGGUGAAUACGUUCCCGGGCCUUGUACACACCGCCCGUCACACCAUGGGAGUGGGUUGCACCAGAAGUAGAUAGCUUAACCGCGAGGGGGGCGUUUACCACGGUGUGGUCCAUGACUGGGGUGAAGUCGUAACAAGGUAACCGUAGGGGAACCUGCGGUUG